RNAcentral lists this ribosomal RNA (254 nucleotides) under uncultured bacterium. Its description in RNAcentral is "partial 16S ribosomal RNA". It matches the Rfam family "Bacterial small subunit ribosomal RNA", at positions 524 to 776 of the family's 1533-position model. The record is from RNAcentral.
UACGUAGGGUGCGAGCGUUGUCCGGAAUUAUUGGGCGUAAAGAGCUCGUAGGCGGUGUGUCACGUCGGCCGUGAAAACCUGCAGCUUAACUGUGGGCGUGCGGUCGAUACGGGCAUCACUGGAGUUCGGCAGGGGAGACUGGAAUUCCUGGUGUAGCGGUGAAAUGCGCAGAUAUCAGGAGGAACACCGGUGGCGAAGGCGGAUCUCUGGGCCUUACCUGACGCUCAGGCGCGAAAGCUAGGGGAGCGAACAGG